CAAGUUAAUGUUAUUAAGGUGGUACCUAACACUACAGGGAGAUAACUCUGUAAAGUCAGCUUAACGUUUUAAUUACGUUGUGUUGUAAAAGGAAUAUUAAGCUUCUCAAUGAUCAAAAUUGGUGUUUGUCAAAUUGCUAUAUAACCAGUGUAAUUUUUCUGAUUAAACGGUUGGUUCAAAUUUUUUGAAAUUUUUAUAUUUUUGUCAAAGGGUCAAAGUAAAUAUUUUG
RNAcentral lists this long non-coding RNA (229 nucleotides) under Mytilus galloprovincialis (Mediterranean mussel). Lineage: Eukaryota; Metazoa; Mollusca; Bivalvia; Mytilida; Mytilidae. The record is from RNAcentral.